RNAcentral lists this ribosomal RNA (208 nucleotides) under uncultured Smithella sp. RNAcentral describes it as "partial 16S ribosomal RNA". It matches the Rfam family "Bacterial small subunit ribosomal RNA", at positions 1174 to 1382 of the family's 1533-position model. Lineage: Bacteria; Pseudomonadati; Thermodesulfobacteriota; Syntrophia; Syntrophales; Smithellaceae. The record is from RNAcentral.
UGGGGAUGACGUCAAGUCCUCAUGGCCUUAUGCUUAGGGCUACACACGUGCUACAAUGGGUGGUACAAAGAGAAGCCAACUCGCGAGAGCGCGCCAAUCUCAAAAAGCCAUCCUCAGUUCGGAUUGGAGUCUGCAACUCGACUCCAUGAAGUUGGAAUCGCUAGUAAUCGCGGAUCAGCAUGCCGCGGUGAAUACGUUCCCGGGCCUU